UCAGACGAUGCGUCAUGCAUAUCAAUAAGCGGAGGAAAAGAAACUAACAAGGAUUCCCUCAGUAACGGCGAGUGACGCGGGAAGAGCUCAAAUUUGAAAUCUUGAAAGGUCACCUUUCACGAAUUGUAGUUUAAAGAAGUGUUUUCUGUUACGAUCGUAAUAUAAGUUCUUUGGAAUAGGACAUCACAGAGGGUGAGAAUCCCGUCUAUGAUUGCGAUUUGUAGCUUUGUGAUACACUUUCAAAGAGUCGGGUUGUUUGGGAAUGCAGCCCAAAACGGGAGGUAAAUUUCUUCUAAGGCUAAAUAUUGGCGAGAGACCGAUAGCGAACAAGUACCGUGAGGGAAAGAUGAAAAGAACUUUGAAAAGAGAGUUAAAUAGUACGUGAAAUUGUCAAAAGGGAAGCGUUUAACACCAGUGUUGUUUUCUGAAAAUCAACCUCUGUUAGCUUUAUGCAUGUUUGUUUAGACCUAAUCAGCUAUCUUGCAUGUUCUAUUGUUUGCAGUGGUGCACUUUUCAGUUUACAGGUCAACAUCAGUUUUUUUUACCGUAAAUAAGUUAAAGAAAGGUAGCUCAUGGCUCCGGUCGUGAGUGUUAUAGUCUUUUUCCUAUGCGGUAGGAGAGACUGAGGUCUGCAGUGUAGGCUAUUUGGCUAGAUACUCAGGUGCUAUGUGAUACCAUUUCAUAAACAACUUGUUGAUUAUGUUUUGUCUAUUGCAUACUCGCUUGUACUAUCAUACCUACGCUUAGGAUGUUGAAGACUCUACAGAGAUA
This 771-nucleotide ribosomal RNA is filed under the name uncultured Neocallimastigales. RNAcentral describes it as "partial large subunit ribosomal RNA". It matches the Rfam family "Eukaryotic large subunit ribosomal RNA", at positions 18 to 640 of the family's 3401-position model. The record is from RNAcentral. Lineage: Eukaryota; Fungi; Neocallimastigomycota; Neocallimastigomycetes; Neocallimastigales.